Molecule: long non-coding RNA, 1121 nt
Filed under: Mus spicilegus (steppe mouse)
Lineage: Eukaryota; Metazoa; Chordata; Mammalia; Rodentia; Muridae
Description: lncRNA (ENSMSIG00000007474.1)
Source: RNAcentral
CACAAAAGCACAUGUAUUUUUAGUCAUUUGCUCAUUCAUUCAGCAAUAAUUUACUGGGCGCCUACCAGGCUCGAGGCUGGGCAGGGGCUAAGGACAGAGAGAAGAAUUUGACCCAGUUCCUGGCCCUCAAGACUCUUCAGUUUUGUGCUGACAUGUAAACAAAUCCCCAUGAUAGAGAGGGUAGGGAGCUCAAGUAUUUACAACUAGUGUGGAGCUGGGCGUGGCCACUCUCCUUGGAACAGAGGAGGAGUAGCUGUGAGUUCAUUCGCUGUCUCACACCCAGACAGCUGACUCAUUCAUUCAUACACCAACUCAUUCACUAGUUCAGCCACUCAUUCACAAGAAUACAAUUUACUCUUUAAUUGUAGACUUGCUGACAGAUUUGCUACCUAAUCAAUUCUUUUAUUCCUUAAUUAUGUGAUGCUCAUUCGUCUGCCUAUUGGCCUUUCAUUCACUUAUUCACUUAUCAUUUCGUUCAGUUACACAUGCAGUUGUAAUAGUGAUUUCCUUCCUUUCAUUUUUUUUUCAGACCAUCAAGCAUCCGUCAAUAGGUCAUUUAUCCAUUCAUUAAUUCAUCCAUUCAUCUGGGCCAACAGUGGCUCCUCUCAUGAACGGACCCAAAUGCUGACUCAUUACUUCCUUUAUUCCUUUAUUAGAAAUGAAGAUCUACUUAUCCAUCCAUUCAUAAAACCAUUCAGGAAUUCACAGAAUGACCAAUACACUCAAGAGUACGCAUUCACUUCUUCAAGGCUGAGCCACUGGGACUAACCUUCAUCAAACCAUCAAAACUAUGAGGAGAAGUUUGGGCAGAUCUCACAUCAUCGCGAGCAAGUGAAGGGCUGGAAACCAUUGGAGGUGAAUAGAUACCUUGGGAAAGUCCAUUCUAAGGAAGACAGAGGAGAGCACAGGACAAAACAAUGACACCAUUGCUAUCAACUGUCAUGUAUCCACUUAUCUUCUCUGUUGGAUCUUGGUGUUUCAGACUCGAAGUCAUCAUGUAUGAGUCAAAUGCCACCGGUGGUCAUCAUCAACCAAGAUUAGUUCUCCUUUUCUUAAAAUAUUUACACUAUCGCUAUUAAUUACUUAAUUAUCAUAAACCCUAUGCUUAGAAACUACCAACC